This 164-nucleotide ribosomal RNA is filed under the name Centaurea litardierei. RNAcentral describes it as "5.8S ribosomal RNA". It matches the Rfam family "5.8S ribosomal RNA". From Rfam's summary of the family: 5.8S ribosomal RNA (5.8S rRNA) is a component of the large subunit of the eukaryotic ribosome. It is transcribed by RNA polymerase I as part of the 45S precursor that also contains 18S and 28S rRNA. Functionally, it is thought that 5.8S rRNA may be involved in ribosome translocation. Lineage: Eukaryota; Viridiplantae; Streptophyta; Magnoliopsida; Asterales; Asteraceae. The record is from RNAcentral.
UAAACGACUCUCGGCAACGGAUAUCUCGGCUCACGCAUCGAUGAAGAACGUANCAAAAUGCGAUACUUGGUGUGAAUUGCAGAAUCCCGUGAACCAUCGAGUUUUUGAACGCAAGUUGCGCCCGAAGCCAUUCGGCCGAGGGCACGUCUGCCUGGGCGUCACGC